RNAcentral lists this ribosomal RNA (747 nucleotides) under Salmonella enterica subsp. houtenae. RNAcentral's name for it is "partial 23S ribosomal RNA". It matches the Rfam family "Bacterial large subunit ribosomal RNA", at positions 2189 to 2925 of the family's 2925-position model. The record is from RNAcentral. Lineage: Bacteria; Pseudomonadati; Pseudomonadota; Gammaproteobacteria; Enterobacterales; Enterobacteriaceae.
ACCUUGAAAUACCACCCUUUAAUGGCUGGUGUUCUAACGUGGGCCCGUGAACCGGGUUGCGGACAGUGUCUGGUGGGUAGUUUGACUGGGGCGGUCUCCUCCUAAAGAGUAACGGAGGAGCACGAAGGUUGGCUAAUCCUGGUCGGACAUCAGGAGGUUAGUGCAAUGGCAUAAGCCAGCUUGACUGCGAGCGUGACGGCGCGAGCAGGUGCGAAAGCAGGUCAUAGUGAUCCGGUGGUUCUGAAUGGAAGGGCCAUCGCUCAACGGAUAAAAGGUACUCCGGGGAUAACAGGCUGAUACCGCCCAAGAGUUCAUAUCGACGGCGGUGUUUGGCACCUCGAUGUCGGCUCAUCACAUCCUGGGGCUGAAGUAGGUCCCAAGGGUAUGGCUGUUCGCCAUUUAAAGUGGUACGCGAGCUGGGUUUAGAACGUCGUGAGACAGUUCGGUCCCUAUCUGCCGUGGGCGCUGGAAGAUUGAGGGGGGCUGCUCCUAGUACGAGAGGACCGGAGUGGACGCAUCACUGGUGUUCGGGUUGUCAUGCCAAUGGCACUGCCCGGUAGCUACAUGCGGAAGAGAUAAGUGCUGAAAGCAUCUAAGCACGAAACUUGCCCCGAGAUGAAUCUUCCCUGAGCCUUUAAGGCUCCUGAAGGAACGUUGAAGACGACGACGUUGAUAGGCCGGGUGUGUAAGCGCAGCGAUGCGUUGAGCUAACCGGUACUAAUGAACCGUGAGGCUUAACCUUACAAC